RNAcentral lists this transfer RNA (58 nucleotides) under Dendrobium moniliforme. Its description in RNAcentral is "partial tRNA-His". Lineage: Eukaryota; Viridiplantae; Streptophyta; Magnoliopsida; Asparagales; Orchidaceae. The record is from RNAcentral.
GGCGGAUGUAGCCAAGUGGAUCAAGGCAGUGGAUUUGUGAAUCCACCCAUGGCGCGAA